RNAcentral lists this ribosomal RNA (253 nucleotides) under uncultured bacterium. RNAcentral describes it as "partial 16S ribosomal RNA". It matches the Rfam family "Bacterial small subunit ribosomal RNA", at positions 524 to 776 of the family's 1533-position model. The record is from RNAcentral.
GACAGAGGGUGCAAACGUUGUUCGGAAUUACUGGGCGUAAAGCGCGUGUAGGUGGCGAGGCAAGUCGGGUGUGAAAGCCCUGGGCUCAACCCAGGAAGUGCACUCGAUACUGCCUAGCUAGAGUCCCGGAGAGGUUGGUGGAACUCUCGGUGUAGAGGUGAAAUUCGUAGAUAUUCGCAAGAACACCAGUGGCGAAGGCGGCUCACUGGCCCGGUACUGACGCUGAGGUGCGAAAGCGUGGGGAGCAAACAGG